UUUGAGCUUUCCCGAACCCCACCUACUGCGGUGCCUCGAAAAAACAACGGACCGGGAAUUCGUUGAGCUGGAGGUGCCCUACAACGGCCAGCCAAACCGGCCGGGCAGCGCCUCGCCCCCGCAGAGCCGGAGCCCCUCGCUGUCCAGCCACGCCAACUUCACCGUCACCUGCUGUGGCCGAAGGUUUGGGGGCAAAUCCUACCAGGCUGUAGACCCUAAGUUGGUUCAGUCCCCCUAAGCCCUCACAAGACGGCGUGCUAGGCGUCGCUCACAUGCCUAAAGGCGGCACCAGCGCAGAACGCAGAUAUGACGAGGAAUUAAAUGAAAUUCAUAUUCGGGACAAAACAUAUCUGAAUAUGGAAACCAACAGAAGUGGCUGGGGAAUGCAUAAUCAGCAAGCAACUCCACUUCCUACUUCCAUCACCACUCCAAAUGUCAAUACGACAAUUAUCACCUCAUGCAGCCAAGGAGCUGCCCCUAGUGUUGUGGCGGUGAGCAAACCUAAUUCUACAACCACCGUUACCACUGCUAUUGUUAACCUUCCCACACCAUCACCUAACGGGGACAGCGAGUUCCCCGCGCCUGCCCUGAACCAGCCACCUCCAGCAAACCAGGGUGUGUUAAGAAUAUCAUCUCUCUAAGUUCUAUUGAUUAUAUUUGUGAUAAUUAGCCUUGGAUCUCAAGGAAUGUUAAGGCAAAGUAGUAGAUAUAGAUUGCACACACACACACACACACACACACACACACACACACA
Molecule: long non-coding RNA, 754 nt
Organism: Penaeus monodon (black tiger shrimp)
Lineage: Eukaryota; Metazoa; Arthropoda; Malacostraca; Decapoda; Penaeidae
Exons: 4
Source: RefSeq, a predicted model, not a curated record